This is a microRNA precursor of Taeniopygia guttata (zebra finch), 111 nucleotides long. Ensembl annotates it as tgu-mir-100-2. Its record names the gene tgu-mir-100-2. NCBI's taxonomy places the organism in Eukaryota, Metazoa, Chordata, Aves, Passeriformes, Estrildidae. The record is from Ensembl.
UGCUGCCACAAACCCGUAGAUCCGAACUUGUGCUCAUAUUCCACACAAGCUUGUAUCUAUAGGUCUGUGGCUGGCUGGCAAGAGCACCCCGGGGUGCUGCUGCACUUCCCC